Bubalus bubalis (water buffalo) is the source of this 377-nucleotide long non-coding RNA. RefSeq lists it as uncharacterized. NCBI's taxonomy places the organism in Eukaryota, Metazoa, Chordata, Mammalia, Artiodactyla, Bovidae. The transcript is spliced from 2 exons. The record is from RefSeq and is a predicted model, not a curated record.
CCCGGCGCUCCGCCUCGGCCGCGCACACACCCUCGCGCGCACGCCCGCGCCUCGCACACGCCCGCGCCUGGCCCACGCGGGCUCCCCGCGCACCCUCGCCCGGCCGGCCGGCUCUCUCGCACAGUCACGCGCCUACACGCAGCGCCCCCGCACCCACGCGCCCAGCGGGGUCCUCUCCUCUUCGCCUGGAGCUGAGCCACCGCGUCCACCGUCUGCCCGGCUGGGGCGCAGGUAUCGGGGUGCGGUGGAGGGGAGGGAGAGAGAGAGCUGCCGUUUGAACUCGGAGUGGGCGAACAGAAAGUAUAGCCGAGCAGGAUCCUAUGGGGACUUCCCAGAAGAGCCCCUGAUCUAGGUCCUCUGCCUGCCUCUUGUCUGUG